UACAGAGGUCCCAAGCGUUGUUCGGAUUCACUGGGCGUAAAGGGUGCGUAGGUGGUGAGGUAAGUCGGAUGUGAAAUCUCCAGGCUCAACCUGGAAAUGGCAUCGGAAACUACCUUGCUCGAGGUUUGGAGGGGGGACUGGAAUACUUGGUGUAGCAGUGAAAUGCGUAGAUAUCAAGUGGAACACCAGUGGCGAAGGCGAGGCCCUGGACAAAACCUGACACUGAGGCACGAAAGCUAGGGGAGCAAACAGG
This 253-nucleotide ribosomal RNA is filed under the name uncultured bacterium. RNAcentral describes it as "partial 16S ribosomal RNA". It matches the Rfam family "Bacterial small subunit ribosomal RNA", at positions 524 to 776 of the family's 1533-position model. The record is from RNAcentral.